AGAGUUUGAUCAUGGCUCAGGACGAACGCUGGCGGCAUGCCUAAUACAUGCAAGUCGAGCGGACUUGAAGAGAAGCUUGCUUCUCUGACGGUUAGCGGCGGACGGGUGAGUAACACGUAGGCAACCUGCCCUCAAGCUUGGGACAACUACCGGAAACGGUAGCUAAUACCGAAUACUUGUUUUCUUCGCCUGAAGGAAACUGGAAAGACGGAGCAAUCUGUCACUUGGGGAUGGACCCGCGGCGCAUUAGCUAGUUGGUGAGGUAACGGCUCACCAAGGCAACGAUGCGUAGCCGACCUGAGAGGGUGAUCGGCCACACUGGGACUGAGACACGGCCCAGACUCCUACGGGAGGCAGCAGUAGGGAAUCUUCCGCAAUGGACGAAAGUCUGACGGAGCAACGCCGCGUGAGUGAUGAAGGUUUUCGGAUCGUAAAACUCUGUUGUUAGGGAAGAACAAGUACCGUUCGAAUAGGGCGGUACCUUGACGGUACCUAACCAGAAAGCCACGGCUAACUACGUGCCAGCAGCCGCGGUAAUACGUAGGUGGCAAGCGUUGUCCGGAAUUAUUGGGCGUAAAGCGCGCGCAGGCGGUUUCUUAAGUCUGAUGUGAAAGCCCACGGCUCAACCGUGGAGGGUCAUUGGAAACUGGGAGACUUGAGUGCAGAAGAGGAGAGUGGAAUUCCACGUGUAGCGGUGAAAUGCGUAGAUAUGUGGAGGAACACCAGUGGCGAAGGCGACUCUCUGGUCUGUAACUGACGCUGAGGCGCGAAAGCGUGGGGAGCAAACAGGAUUAGAUACCCUCGUAGUCC
Molecule: ribosomal RNA, 810 nt
Filed under: uncultured bacterium
Lineage: Bacteria
Description: bacterial SSU rRNA
Rfam family: Bacterial small subunit ribosomal RNA
Source: RNAcentral